UAGUUAACUAGUUUCUCCCGAGGGUAAUCCUUGUUAAGAACAGAUUGCUCUGGCGUAGUUUUAAAUGGUUCCUUUUGCUCACCUCCUGCUGAAAGCAUGAAGAGAUUCUUCUCUGAUAUUUUCUGUGAGAAUCUGAUCAAGCUCCUAGAGGUGAAACUCACAAAUAUUUGGUAGUCGCUCUAGACUGGGUUGCUCCGGAGUUUUUAACUCUCAGGCUUGUUCGCCCUGAUUCUCCAGCAAUUUGUAAAUUAGAGCUCAGGUUUUCCUGCCCCAGCACCGGUCCCCACAGUGGUUUCCACAGCUGCUUUAACCAUCUGGAGAAAGCCUGGAUCUACUGGGAGCACCACAUAUAGCCUGGCUUACAGCUAACCCAAAAGAGAAAGAGGGCCUUGGGAGAGAACAAAGUGACAUACUUAAACCCUGAAGCAGAUCGUGCCUGAGGCUACCUUUGCCCAUAAACAAUUCCAGAGACAAGAUCUCCCUCUGGAACCCGGGCUGGAAUACAGUGGCACACUCAUACCUCACUGCAGCCUUGAACUCCUGGGCUCAAGCGAUUCUCCCACCUCAGCUUCCUGAACAGCUGGGAAUACAGGCGCACCUCACCACACCCAGCUUCAGUCAGCCUGUUCUUGAUGCCUGGAGUCCCUUAUUAGAGAACUUCUCUGGUUUCCUAAAUAUUGUUCCUUAUUUAAAAUGCAACUUAGCACCUCCAGAAGUGUCUGUAGUGCUCUCUUGUCCCCAUAAAUGAGUUAGUUGUGUUCCAAGAUGCAUUCUACCAUGGGCUGAGUGUCCUGGGUUUCUCAAGACGUAUAUUUCAAUGUUAGGGCAUAUGUACACAGGCAGUUUUGGUAGGGCCCAACCUUCUUGUAUAUGUCAGUGCAUAAGCAUGGUGUGAUACAGAGAUGCUUAACCCGUGGGCCCCAAAACAGGGCAUUAGGAGAUCUGUGAGUCCCUCGAUAUUAGAUGCAAAAUUGCCUUGGUGCCCUUGUACCUCUUUGGAACCAGGAAAUCCAUAGCUUUUAUUGGAUUCUCAAAGGGCUCUAUGGUUAAAGAUUCAUGAUCAUGGGAACAGCUACCUGGAACCAGCCCUCCACAGCCUCUUUCAGGUAUGGUGGGUUUGCAAGGGGGCUUGGAGAGAUCUUGAGGUGGUAUUCCAGUCUGGGGGCAGGAAGGGAUGGGUGGAGAGGCAAAGCGAUGAGAUCAGUGACAGUCAGAUAAGCCCAAGGGCCCUGGGUGUCCUGGUGUGUCAGGGUGAGAGAGCAGACCCAUACAGAGCCAAGCCAAACCCUGCUGACUCACAGCUUUCCUCUGGAAGCUGCCCUGCAGUGAGCGUGCAGACAGAGCUUCCAAGCAGCCCGAGAAGGAGCAAGAGCUUUCUCAGCAGGCAAGGGCGAGGCUGAGGCUGAGAGUGGAGCCUCUGGCCCUGGUGCAAUCCUGAGCCUCAGGGGCACUGAGUUCUAGGCCCAGCUGCCAUCUGAUCUCGCACCAGUUCCUCCAUCUACAAAGAAGGGGAUUGAGGGGCUGACACUAGAGGUUCCUUAAAGUUUCUUCUGAUUCGAAAAGAAUGAUUCUAAUGAUCCCAUAAGCUUCCUCUUUGAGUAUUUCUUACCCAGGAGGAAAAUCUGACAGAUUCAGGUUUUAUGAAGCCUGAAGUGUAUACAAUUUGGGGAUAGAGUUACCAGAGAAAUUCCUGAUGCCCAGUUAAAUCUGAAUUUCAGCCAAACAAAUCAGAAAAUGUUAAUACAUAUAUGUCCCAAAUAUCGCUCAUGACAUACUUAUACUAAAAGGUUAUUCACUGUUUACCUGAUUUUCACAUGUAACUGUGAGUCCUGAAUUUUAUUUGGUAACUCUGACAACUGUAGUUGGAAUGAAUUCUAAGUAAAAGAACAUAAAAUUAGGAUUACAGAAUUAAAUACAAAUGUGAAGGUUUAUUGGAAUGAGAAAAGUAAUCACAGGAAGUCACCGGAGCUUUGAAGAUUUAGGCCUGUUUCAGCAAUUGGAACAUUCUGCAACUCCUGGAACUCACAGGGAUCCCCAGUAAGUGAGAGGCCUCAAGCCUCAGGUUUAUAAGCAUCACAGCCAAUUCACAUUUCCUGGGAUGUUGGCGUCUUUUCUAAAGCCUUCUCUAUUUAUUACCCUAGUUUCAUUGGUUCUCAUGGCAGCCUCUCAAAUUAUACAAUUGGGUAUUUUUGUAACUCCAUCUCUUCAUCUCUUAUUUUUUAGUCUUUUUUUUUAUCUAUUGGAGUUUGGAUUUUUAGCUUUUCAAUUUCAUGGAAAAAACAGAUUUUAAAUAAUAUUUAUGAAACAGUAUAAGCCUUGCAGUUUAGACUAUUUUAGAAACAUCAGAUUAUAUUAGUUAUAUGGGCAACUGGUAAUUUUAUUGUCUACAUUUUAUAAAGUCUAAAAAGAGAAACAAGGAAUAAUAAAUUUUUCUUUCACUUAGAAACUGCUUUAGAGGAACAUUUAAUUUUGACUGUAGCCUGCAGAUAUGUCAAGAUCUUUGUGUACAUAAACACAUAUGCAUAUGUAUAUGUUCCUGAAUGCUAUGCAGGAUUACCUUAAAGCAUAACUAAGUCCUCCAAAAUGAUUGACCAGUAGGAAAUCAGUCAAAUUAGACAAAAUUGUUCUGUCCUAAGCAUAUAUUAAAAUGUUUAUGAGUAAAAUGUAUGUAUAUUUUAAUUAUCAUAAAUGAAGUAUCCAUGGAAGAUAUUUUGUUAUCUUUCAUUUUAAAUUUGAACUAGUAGGUUCAAUUUUUUUCUUAUUGAAAGAAAGUAUUCUUGAGCACUGUUACACAGAUUUCACAUUAUUAUAGCAGAUAAUGUUUUUGGCCUUGAAAAUUCUUAAUCUCUUCCUAAUGAUGGUAGCAAUUGGCUUAAAAUGUAAUGUGAUAGAAAAUUAAAGUGACUAUAAAAGAAAAUAAAAGUAAUUUAAGAUGGAAGAAAAAUGUAGAACAAGAUAAGCAGAAAGAAAUAGAGAUGAAAUACCAAGAAAUUAAAUCUAUUUUGCAAUUUUUGAAAAAUGGCUUGAAAUAAGUUGUAUAAUGUAUUAGUGGAUCCACAGUGGUAACUGAAUAAACUAGUUCACUAUUCUGGAUAUACCAGUUUAAUAAUGUCAUAAUUUGUGCAGCCAUUUGCUUGCUUUUUCCCUCUAAAAUAUUUAAGGCACUCCACUUGGCUGUAUGUGUAUAAGCAUGUAAUGAUGGCGGUGGUGGUGGUGCUGGAAUGUAUAGCUGUGUGUAAGCAUGUAGUCAUUGUGAUGGCAGUGAUGGUGUGUGUGUGUGCGUGUGUGUGUGUGGUAAUU
This 3300-nucleotide long non-coding RNA is filed under the name Homo sapiens (human). Its description in RNAcentral is "HSALNT0101424". Lineage: Eukaryota; Metazoa; Chordata; Mammalia; Primates; Hominidae. The record is from RNAcentral.